AACGCACAUUGCGCCUCUUGGUACUCCGAGAGGCACACCUGUUCGAGCGCCGUUGUACACACUGAGGCUCCGCCUUGCGAUGGCACGCCCGUUGGAUGGGCUGCUGAAAUAAGAAUGGCGCCAAUGCGAUGAGCCAAGUAGCACAUUACAAGGCGAAACGUGCUGAGUAGCCAGUUUGAUCGACUUGGCCUCGAAUCAGGUGGGGAUACCCGCUGAACUUAA
This 222-nucleotide unclassified non-coding RNA is filed under the name uncultured Ascomycota. RNAcentral's name for it is "sequence contains 5.8S rRNA gene, ITS2, 28S rRNA gene". Lineage: Eukaryota; Fungi; Ascomycota. The record is from RNAcentral.